Molecule: ribosomal RNA, 1110 nt
Filed under: Triticum aestivum (bread wheat)
Lineage: Eukaryota; Viridiplantae; Streptophyta; Magnoliopsida; Poales; Poaceae
Description: partial small subunit ribosomal RNA
Source: RNAcentral
AUGUUGGGCAGUCCGAGAAAGCAGCACGGCGGCGGCGGCGGCGGAAGCCACUCGGCCUCGUUCCUCCUCGGGGCUCUCCUCCCCACGCUCCUGCUCUUCUUCCUCGCCUCCGACCGGGUCGGCGAGCGGCUGACCAGCAUCUCCACCUACACCUUGGGGAACAACAAUAAUGGAUCGUCAUCAGCUCAUCGUGAGCAGAUGACCCAUGAUGCCAACCUCACGGACACGGACACGACGGAGGAGAGGGUGUUCCCGGGGCUGGCGGAGCUGCUGCCGAGGGUGGCCACGGACGACGGGACGGUGAUCAUCACGUCGGUGAACGAGGCGUGGUCGCGCCCGGGCUCCCUCCUCGACCUCUUCCGCGCGGGGUUCAACAACGGCGAGGGGAUCGCGCACCUCCUCAACCACACCCUCAUCGUGGCCGUCGACCCCGGCGCGCUGGCGCACUGCGAGGCCGUGCACCCGCACUGCUACCUCCUCGAGGUCACCUCCGCCAACGUCAGCUCCGCCAACCGCUUCAUGACCAAGAGCUACUUCGAGCUCGUCUGGGCCAAGCUGGAGCUCCAGCAGCGCGUCCUCCAGCUCGGCUACAGCUACCUCUUCACCGACGUGGACAUCAUGUGGCUGCGCAACCCGUUCCGGUACAUCAGCCUCUACGCCGACAUGGCCGUCUCCACCGACCGGUUCAACGGCGACGCCGAGGCCCUGACGAACGCGCCCAACACGGGCUUCUACUACGUCAAGUCCACCAACCGCACGGUGGAGAUGCUGAGGCGGUGGCGGGCGGCGAGGUCGCGGUUCCCGCCGACCCACGACCAGGCGGUGUUCGACGAGAUUAAGGGCGAGCUGGCAGGCGGCGAGCUGCACAUCAGGUUCGUGUUCCUCGAGACGGCGCUCUUCGACGGCUUCUGCCAGCUCCACGACGAGAUGGACCGGGUGUGCACCAUGCACGCCAACUGCUGCAUCGGGCUCGAGAACAAGGUGCACGACCUCACCAACAUGGCCGCCGACUGGAAGAACUACACGAGCCUAGCGCCGGCGGAGAGAAGGGGCAGCGGGCGUAGGUGGACGGCCCCCGACCAGUGCGAGGAGUCCAUGAGGCAGCGCUGA